UGAACGCUGGCGGCGUGCCUAAUACAUGCAAGUCGAGCGAACGGACGAGAAGCUUGCUUCUCUGAUGUUAGCGGCGGACGGGUGAGUAACACGUGGAUAACCUACCUAUAAGACUGGGAUAACUUCGGGAAACCGGAGCUAAUACCGGAUGAUAUUUUGAACCGCAUGGUUCAAAAGUGAAAGACGGUCUUGCUGUCACUUAUAGAUGGAUCCGCGCUGCAUUAGCUAGUUGGUAAGGUAACGGCUUACCAAGGCAACGAUGCAUAGCCGACCUGAGAGGGUGAUCGGCCACACUGGAACUGAGACGCGGUCCAGACUCCUACGGGAGGCAGCAGUAGGGAAUCUUCCGCAAUGGGCGAAAGCCUGACGGAGCAACGCCGCGUGGGUGAUGAAGGUCUGCGGAUCGUAAAACUCUGUUAUUAGGGAAGAACAUAUGUGUAAGUAACUGUGCACAUCUUGACGGUACCUAAUCAGAAAGCCACGGCUAACUACGUG
This 495-nucleotide ribosomal RNA is filed under the name uncultured bacterium. RNAcentral describes it as "partial 16S ribosomal RNA". It matches the Rfam family "Bacterial small subunit ribosomal RNA", at positions 30 to 507 of the family's 1533-position model. The record is from RNAcentral.